GAUGAAGAACGUAGUGAAAUGCGAUACGUAAUGUGAAUUGCAGAAUUCAGUGAAUCAUCGAGUCUUUGAACGCACAUUGCGCCCCCUGGUAUUCCGGGGGGCAUGUCUGUCCGAGCGUCAUUGCUGCCCUCAAGCACGGCUUGUGUGUUGGGCCUCCGCCCCCCGGCUCCCGGGGGGCGGGCCCGAAAGGCAGCGGCGGCACCGCGUCCGGUCCUCGAGCGUAUGGGGCUUCGUCACCCGCUCCGUAGGCCCGGCCGGCGCCCGCCGGCGACCCCCCUCAAUCUUUCCAGGUUGACCUCGGAUCAGGUAGGGAUACCCGCUGAACUUAAGCAUAUCAAUAAGCGGAGGA
RNAcentral lists this unclassified non-coding RNA (349 nucleotides) under soil metagenome. RNAcentral's name for it is "partial contains 5.8S ribosomal RNA, internal transcribed spacer 2, and large subunit ribosomal RNA". The stretch from base 1 to 120 matches the Rfam family "5.8S ribosomal RNA", at positions 35 to 154 of the family's 154-position model. The record is from RNAcentral.